UCGUGGCGUGAGUCGUCUGCUUAAUUGCGAUAACGAGCGAGACUCUAACUGUUAACUAGCACAAUCUUUUCUUCUGAGAUUGAGGCUUCUUAACUGGAUUCGAGAUUCCAAAUCUCAAGAAAUGGAGCAAUAACA
RNAcentral lists this ribosomal RNA (135 nucleotides) under uncultured eukaryote. RNAcentral's name for it is "partial 18S ribosomal RNA". It matches the Rfam family "Eukaryotic small subunit ribosomal RNA", at positions 1299 to 1458 of the family's 1831-position model. The record is from RNAcentral.